GAUGAACGCUGGCGGCGUGCCUAAUACAUGCAAGUCGAGCGAACAGAUGAGGAGCUUGCUCCUCUGACGUUAGCGGCGGACGGGUGAGUAACACGUGGAUAACCUACCUAUAAGACUGGGAUAACUUCGGGAAACCGGAGCUAAUACCGGAUAAUAUAUUGAACCGCAUGGUUCAAUAGUGAAAGACGGUUUUGCUGUCACUUAUAGAUGGAUCCGCGCCGCAUUAGCUAGUUGGUAAGGUAACGGCUUACCAAGGCAACGAUGCGUAGCCGACCUGAGAGGGUGAUCGGCCACACUGGAAGUGAGACACGGUCCAGACUCCUACGGGAGGCAGCAGUAGGGAAUAUUACGCAAUGGGCGAAAGCCUGACGGAGCAACGCCGCGUGAGUGAUGAAGGUCUUCGGAUCGUAAAACUCUGUUAUUAGGGAAGAACAAAUGUGUAAGUAAAUAUGCACGUAUUGACGGUAACUAAUCAGAAAGCCACGGCUAACUACGUG
This 497-nucleotide ribosomal RNA is filed under the name uncultured bacterium. RNAcentral describes it as "partial 16S ribosomal RNA". It matches the Rfam family "Bacterial small subunit ribosomal RNA", at positions 28 to 507 of the family's 1533-position model. The record is from RNAcentral.